GAAUGGAUAGAGAAUGUAAGCAGACUUCCGAGAAAAUCUUCUAAGCAUAUUGAUACGGUACCCGUACCGCAAACCGACACAGGUAGUCAAGGAGAGAAUCCUGAGGUGCUCGAGUGAGUCAUGGCUAAGGAACUAGGCAAAUUAAACCUGUAACUUCGGGAAAAGGGUUGCCUCUCUUUAGCAAUAAAGAAGGUCGCAGAGAAAUGGCCCAGGCGACUGUUUAACAAAAACACAUGGCUAUGCGAAAUCGUAAGAUGAAGUAUAUGGCCUGACACCUGCCCGGUGCUGGAAGGUUAAGGGGGGAAGUUAGUCGCAAGGCGAAGCUUUGAACUGAAGCCCCAGUAAACGGCGGCCGUAACUAUAACGGUCCUAAGGUAGCGAAAUUCCUUGUCGGGUAAGUUCCGACCUGCACGAAUGGUGUAACGAUCUGGGCACUGUCUCAGCCAUGAGCUCGGUGAAAUUGUAGUCACGGUGAAGAUGCCGUGUACCCGUCACGGGACGGAAAGACCCCAUGCACCUUUACUAUAGCUUCGCAUUGACAUUGGGUAGAUGAUGUGUAGGAUAGGUGGGAGGCGUUGAUCCUGUGCCGCUAGGUAUAGGGGAGCCAACGGUGAAAUACCACCCUUUAUUUAUCUGAUGUCUAAUCCGCAAGACCUGCGGAGACAGUGCGUGGUGGGUAGUUUGACUGGGGUGGUCGCCUCCGAAAGUGUAUCGGAGGCUUUCAAAGGUAUGCUCAAUACGCUUGGUAACCGUAUGUGGAGUGCAAUAGCAUAAGCAUGCUUGACUGUGAGACUGACAAGUCGAGCAGGGUCGAAAGACGGAUAUAGUGAUCCGGUGGUUCUGUAUGGAAGGGCCAUCGCUCAAAGGAUAAAAGGUACGCUGGGAUAACAGGCUGAUCUCCCCCAAGAGCUCACAUCGACGGGGAGGUUUGGCACCUCGAUGUCGGCUCGUCACAUCCUGGGGCUGGAGAAGGUCCCAAGGGUUAGGCUGUUCGCCUAUUAAAGUGGCACGCGAGCUGGGUUCAGAACGUCGUGAGACAGUUCGGCCCCUAUCUGUGAUGGGCGUAGGAAGUUUGAGAGGAUCUGACCUUAGUACGAGAGGACCGGGUUGGACCAACCGCUGGUGUACCGGUUGUGGCGUCAGCUGCAUCGCCGGGUAGCUACGUUGGGACGAGAUAAGCGCUGAAAGCAUCUAAGCGCGAAACUCACCUCAAGAUGAGACUUCCAUUAAGGGACGUCAGAGACUAUGACGUUGAUAGGCUGCAGGUGUAAAGGCAGAAAUGUCAAAGCUGAGCAGUACUAAUUACCCU
This 1309-nucleotide ribosomal RNA is filed under the name metagenome. RNAcentral describes it as "bacterial LSU rRNA". It matches the Rfam family "Bacterial large subunit ribosomal RNA", at positions 1581 to 2911 of the family's 2925-position model. The record is from RNAcentral.